UGGCCAAUGGAAUACGGGCGGAAGUGGAAAUGCACCAUUUCCCAGCCUAGACCGUAAGAGGCAUCGCAUAUUUGUGCUCAGCUCUCUGGGAGCCCUGACCCCUCUCUGGGAAGAGCAUGCCCCGGCAAGCCCCUGUCCCCUCCAGCCUAGGCCCCAGAAUGAGACAUGUGGAGCAGAGCCACCUCACAGACCCCUGACCUGUGAACAGUGCACCAUCUGCUAGACUACAGCAAAGGGACCUCCAGCUGCACAGACGAAGGCGCUUCGUGUAACACUCAGGCUCCUGCUUAAAGAGAAGAGCAGUGUGUGAGGUCUCAUUGUCUGAACUUGAAUCCUGGCUUCACUAAUGAGUAGCUGUUUAACCUCAGGCAAACUGUGAAAUAUCUCUGAGCUUCAGUUUCCCGAUACCUGAAAUGGGGAUAAGAAUGCAUGUGUUAUAAUGUGGCCAUAAAAUGACAAAAGAAAUGUGGCAGGCCCAAUAUGGUGCCUGGCAUGUUGCAGGAGCUCUGAAAAUGCCAACUUGUCUCCCAUCCCUUCAACUGACUCAGAAGAACACCUGCUCUAGAGGCAGAGCAGCACGGAGUUCAACUCUUGGCUCUGCCACUUACUUGCUGUGACUUUGGGCAGAUGGUUCCAUCUCCCUUCGUUCUAUCAUAUAUAAAACGAAGGUGCUAGUACUACUUCUUGGUGUUGUUCUGAAGGAUUUAAGAGUGAUGAGCAUGGGGGGCUGCAAUACAGGUGCUCGAUCCACUGUUCUUACCACAUUAAUUGACGAUAAAACACUCAGGCCAAGUGAAGCUCAAAGAGAAGAUUGACAAAGAUCUUUGUAUGGGAUUUUGAACAGAACCUGCCUUAAAAGCAGGACUGACAUCAACAGGGGUUUGGACCAAGGGCUCUGGAUCUUGGGAGCCUGAUGAUCAGCUGAAAGGAGUAGUGUGAAAUGAUAAGAGAGCUCCUGCUUAAACAAGAAAUUGCAUGAACCCUAAUUUGGAAAAAUGUUAGUGGGAAGUCUUAUGUAUUUAUAUGCACUUCGGAAAGAUUUAUGCCAGUCUUAAUGGCUGGAGAUGUCCUUCAAAUUUUCCAUCCGCCUUGCAAUAGGUCUAAUGUGAUAACAAACAGGAAAUCGACUGGGCUAAGGGACAUGCAGUUCUGUUUUGA
This 1158-nucleotide long non-coding RNA is filed under the name Equus caballus (horse). RNAcentral describes it as "lncRNA (ENSECAG00000047708.1)". The record is from RNAcentral. Lineage: Eukaryota; Metazoa; Chordata; Mammalia; Perissodactyla; Equidae.